This is a long non-coding RNA of Dama dama (fallow deer), 910 nucleotides long. RefSeq lists it as uncharacterized. The transcript has 4 exons. The record is from RefSeq and is a predicted model, not a curated record. NCBI's taxonomy places the organism in Eukaryota, Metazoa, Chordata, Mammalia, Artiodactyla, Cervidae.
UAAAGGUUAACUGUUUAAUAACUUGAGUCAACAUUUUUGAAUUCCACCUCCAGAUUCGAAUGUGUCAACAGGAGCUUAUAGUAAAAUAUAAAUCUUGAUGGAAAUGAAAAAUUGUGUUUCCAGGAGAAGAAAGACUAUAAAAAUUACGCAAAGCGGGGACAAAAACGGCGUGCGCCGCCCGGGAAUCGAACCCGGGUCGCAAGAAUGGGAAUCUUGCAUGAUACCACUACACCAGCGGCGCUGACGGAAAUUGGUUCUGCUGAAAUACCUUAGGACCAAGUACACGCGGACGUUCGUUCCCAAAUGAGGAAGAUUUAUUCAUUUAAAAAUAGAAGUUUACCGAGAGUCUAUAUAAUCUGUUACUUUUCAGCUUAAAAGAGUUUCCGGGAAUUUCCUAACAGUCCAGCAUUUAGGACUCCACGCUUUCACUGCCGAAAUCAGGUUUAAUCUCUGGUUCAGAUCCCCCAAGUCACGCGGCGCAGCUGGAAAAAAAAAGACUCUCCGUACAGUUUUCCACAGUGACUAUACCAGUUGACAUUUCUACCAAUAGUACCCGGCUUCUCAGGUGGCACUAGUGCUGAAGAACCCACCUGCCAAUUCAGGAAGGAAGCAACCUAGAUGCCCAUCAGCAGAUGAAUGGAUAAGGAAGCUGUGGUACAUAUACACCAUGGAAUAUUACUCAGCCGUUAAAAAGAAUUCAUUUGAACCAGUCCUAAUGAGAUGGAUGAAACUGGAGCCCAUUAUACAGAGUGAAGUAAGCCAGAAAGAUAAAGAACAUUACAGCAUACUAACACAUAUAUAUGGAAUUUAGAAAGAUGGUAACGAUAACCCUAUAUGCAAAACAGAAAAAGAGGCACAGAAAUACAGAACAGACUUUUGAACUCUGUGGGAGAAUGUGAGGGUGGGAUAU